Molecule: ribosomal RNA, 354 nt
Filed under: Arion fasciatus
Lineage: Eukaryota; Metazoa; Mollusca; Gastropoda; Stylommatophora; Arionidae
Description: partial 12S ribosomal RNA
Source: RNAcentral
UCUUAAAGUAAUAAUUUCAUUUAUGAGUAGUAAUAUAAUAUAAUACAAACUGAAAUCUCAUGGCGGCAAAAAUAAAGUAUAGGGGAACUUACCACGUAAUAGAUAACCCCCAAGCGGAAGCUACCUCCAUACAUAGUUUGUAUACCGUUGUUAUCAAGUAUAUCUAAAAGGAAAUAUUAAAAAACAAAAUUAAUAAUAUGUAACUUAACAAAUCAAAGUGCAGCCAAUAUGGAGGAGUAGGCGAGUUACAAUAGGAUAAAUAAUUUACCGAAGGUAGGUGUACUCUUUACCUGAAGAUGGACUUAUAAGUAAAAUAUAUUAACAUUAAUAUUAGAAUAUAAUAUAUUUUUGUGC